RNAcentral lists this ribosomal RNA (253 nucleotides) under uncultured bacterium. Its description in RNAcentral is "partial 16S ribosomal RNA". It matches the Rfam family "Bacterial small subunit ribosomal RNA", at positions 524 to 776 of the family's 1533-position model. The record is from RNAcentral.
UACGAGGGGUGCAAGCGUUGCUCGGAAUUAUUGGGCGUAAAGGGUAGGUAGGUGGUCUCGUUUGUCUGGGGUGAAAGCCUUGAGCUUAACUCAAGAAGUGCCCUAGAAACGGCGAGACUAGAGUCUUGGAGAGGGUCGUGGAAUUCCCGGUGUAGCGGUGAAAUGCGUAGAGAUCGGGAGGAACACCGGUGGCGAAGGCGGCUUCCUGGACCGAUACUGACGCUGAGGCGCGAAAGCUAGGGGAGCAAACGGG